AUUAGAGUUUGAUCCUGGCUCAGAUUGAACGCUGGCGGCAUGCCUUACACAUGCAAGUCGAACGGCAGCGGGCCCUUCGGGGUGCCGGCGAGUGGCGAACGGGUGAGUAAUGCAUCGGAACGUGCCCAGAGGUGGGGGAUAACGCAGCGAAAGCUGUGCUAAUACCGCAUGUGAUCUGAGGAUGAAAGCGGGGGACCAAGCAGCAAUGUUUGGCCUCGCGCCUCUGGAGCGGCCGAUGUCAGAUUAGGUAGUUGGUGGGGUAAAGGCCUACCAAGCCGACGAUCUGUAGCUGGUCUGAGAGGACGGCCAGCCACACUGGGACUGAGACACGGCCCAGACUCCUACGGGAGGCAGCAGUGGGGAAUAUUGCACAAUGGGCGCAAGCCUGAUGCAGCGACGCCGCGUGGGGGAUGAAGGCCUUCGGGUUGUAAACUCCUUUCAUCAUCGACGAAGGGCUCACUUGUUGUGGGUUUGACGGUAGGUGGAGAAGAAGCACCGGCUAACUACGUGCCAGCAGCCGCGGUAAUAAU
Molecule: ribosomal RNA, 530 nt
Filed under: uncultured bacterium
Lineage: Bacteria
Description: bacterial SSU rRNA
Rfam family: Bacterial small subunit ribosomal RNA
Source: RNAcentral